GAUGAACGCUGGCGGCGUGCCUAAUACAUGCAAGUCGAGCGAACGGACGAGAAGCUUGCUUCUCUGAUGUUAGCGGCGGACGGGUGAGUAACACGUGGAUAACCUACCUAUAAGACUGGGAUAACUUCGGGAAACCGGAGCUAAUACCGGAUAAUAUUUUGAACCGCAUGGUUCAAAAGUGAAAGACGGUCUUGCUGUCACUUAUAGAUGGAUCCGCGCUGCAUUAGCUAGUUGGUAAGGUAACGGCUUACCAAGGCAACGAUGCAUAGCCGACCUGAGAGGGUGAUCGGCCACACUGGAACUGAGACACGGUCCAGACUCCUACGGGAGGCAGCAGUAGGGAAUCUUCCGCAAUGGGCGAAAGCCUGGCGGAGCAACGCCGCGUGAGUGAUGAAGGUCUUCGGAUCGUAAAACUCUGUUAUUAGGGAAGAACAUAUGUGUAAGUAACUGUGCACAUCUUGACGGUACCUAAGCAGAAAGCCACGGCUAACUACGU
RNAcentral lists this ribosomal RNA (496 nucleotides) under uncultured bacterium. RNAcentral describes it as "partial 16S ribosomal RNA". It matches the Rfam family "Bacterial small subunit ribosomal RNA", at positions 28 to 506 of the family's 1533-position model. The record is from RNAcentral.